Molecule: ribosomal RNA, 238 nt
Filed under: uncultured bacterium
Lineage: Bacteria
Description: partial 16S ribosomal RNA
Rfam family: Bacterial small subunit ribosomal RNA
Source: RNAcentral
GAUCAUGGCUCAGGACGAACGCUGGCGGCGUGCUUAACACAUGCAAGUCGAACGAGAAUCUACUGAAGGAGGAUUCGUCCAACGGAAGUAGAGGAAAGUGGCGGACGGGUGAGUAACGCGUGAGGAACCUGCCUUGAAGAGGGGGACAACAGUUGGAAACGACUGCUAAUACCGCAUGAAGCAUAGGGGUCGCAUGAUCUUUAUGCCAAAGAUUUAUCGCUUCAAGAUGGCCUCGCGU